CACCCAUCCGUCCAUCCACCCAUGACUAACCCAUCUGUAAAUCCACCCAUCACUCACCCAUCUGUACAUCCACCCAUCUACCCAUCCAUCUGUCCAUGCACCCAUGACUCACCCAUCUGUCUACCCAGCCAUCACUCACCACUUGGUCCAUCCAUCCAUCACUCACCCAUCCGUCCAUCCACCCACUACUCACCCAUCCUUCCAUCCACCCAUCACUCACCCAUCUAUCCAUCCACCCAUCACUCACCACUUGGUCCAUCCACCCAUCACUCACCCAUCCGUCCAUCCACCCAUUACUCACCCAUCUGUUCAUCCACCCAUCACUCACCCAUCCUUCCAUCCACCCAUCUCUCACCAUCUGUCCAUCCACCCAUCACUCACCCAUCCGUCCAUCCACUAUCACUCACCCAUCCUUCCAUCCACCCAUCUCUCACCCAUCCGUCCAUCCACCCGUCACUCACCCAUCCGUCCAUCCACCAUCACUCACCCAUCCUUCCAUCCACCCAUCACUCAUCCGUCUAUCCACCCAUCACUCACCCCUCAGUCCAUCCUCUCAUCACUCACCCUGUCCAUCCAUCCAUCACUCACCCAUCUGUCCAUCCACCCAUCUACCCAUCCAUCCAUCC
Molecule: long non-coding RNA, 626 nt
Filed under: Pan troglodytes (chimpanzee)
Lineage: Eukaryota; Metazoa; Chordata; Mammalia; Primates; Hominidae
Description: long non-coding RNA NONPTRT004393
Source: RNAcentral